GUGACCGUAGCUCAAUUGGUCAGAGCACUGGACUGUGGCUCCAGGGGUUGUGGGUUCGAUUCCCAUCGGUCACCCCA
Molecule: transfer RNA, 77 nt
Filed under: Candidatus Rokubacteria bacterium GWA2_73_35
Lineage: Bacteria; Candidatus Rokuibacteriota
Also listed under: 10 other names
Description: tRNA-His
Rfam family: tRNA
About the family: Transfer RNA (tRNA) molecules are approximately 80 nucleotides in length. Their secondary structure includes four short double-helical elements and three loops (D, anti-codon, and T loops).
Source: RNAcentral